GCCGCCGCCACCUCUUCCUCACCCUCCUCAUCGUCCGCCGCCUCGUCCUCAUCGCCGGGCUCCCGGAAGAUGGUGGUGUCAGCAGAGAUGUGCUGCUUUUGCUUCGAUGUGCUCUACUGUCACCUGUAUGGAUACCAGCAGCCCCGGACCCCCCGAUUCACCAACGAGCCCUACCCACUGUUUGUAACAUGGAAGAUUGGUCGAGACAAAAGAUUACGUGGAUGCAUAGGUACUUUUUCUGCCAUGAAUUUGCAUUCAGGACUCAGGGAGUACACACUUACCAGCCUAGAAUGAGUGAACAACAAGGCUCCAUGUCAUGAGAAAAGCAUUGUAGCCUGAUCCUCACUUAUGUUUUAGGUAUUUGAAAAUUACAUUGAUUUCAAAUAGUUUGAAUUGCAUUGAGCUAAAACUUAU
This 414-nucleotide small RNA is filed under the name Pongo abelii (Sumatran orangutan). RNAcentral describes it as "processed transcript". The record is from RNAcentral. Lineage: Eukaryota; Metazoa; Chordata; Mammalia; Primates; Hominidae.